GACGAACGCUGGCGGCGUGCCUAAUACAUGCAAGUCGAGCGAGCGGAACUAACAGAUUUACUUCGGUAAUGACGUUAGGAAAGCGAGCGGCGGAUGGGUGAGUAACACGUGGGGAACCUGCCCCAUAGUCUGGGAUACCACUUGGAAACAGGUGCUAAUACCGGAUAAGAAAGCAGACCGCAUGAUCAGCUUUUAAAAGGCGGCGUAAGCUGUCGCUAUGGGAUGGCCCCGCGGUGCAUUAGCUAGUUGGUAAGGUAAAGGCUUACCAAGGCGAUGAUGCAUAGCCGAGUUGAGAGACUGAUCGGCCACACUGGGACUGAGACACGGCCCAAACUCCUACGGGAGGCAGCAGUAGGGAAUCUUCCACAAUGGACGCAAGUCUGAUGGAGCAACGCCGCGUGAGUGAAGAAGGUUUUCGGAUCGUAAAGCUCUGUUGUUGGUGAAGAAGGAUAGAGGUAGUAACUGGCCUUUAUUUGACGGUAAUCAACCAGAAAGUCACGGCUAACUACGUGCCAGCAGCCGCGGUAAUACGUAGGCGGCAAGCGUUGUCCGGAUUUAUUGGGCGUAAAGCGAGCGCAGGCGGAAGAAUAAGUCUGAUGUGAAAGUCCUCGGCUUAACCGAGGAACUGCAUCGGAAACUGUUUUUCUUGAGUGCAGAAGAGGAGAGUGGAACUCCAUGUGUAGCGGUGGAAUGCGUAGAUAUAUGGAAGAACACCAGUGGCGAAGGCGGCUCUCUGGUCUGCAACUGACGCUGAGGCUCGAAAGCAUGGGUAGCGAACAGGAUUAGAUACCCUGGUAGUCCAUGCCGUAAACGAUGGGUGCUAAGUGUUGGGAGGUUUCCGCCUCUCAGUGCUGCAGCUAACGCAUUAAGCACUCCGCCUGGGGAGUACGACCGCAAGGUUGAAACUCAAAGGAAUUGACGGGGGCCCGCACAAGCGGUGGAGCAUGUGGUUUAAUUCGAAGCAACGCGAAGAACCUUACCAGGUCUUGACAUCUAGUGCCAUUUGUAGAGAUACAAAAUUCCCUUCGGGGACGCUAAGACAGGUGGUGCAUGGCUGUCGUCAGCUCGUGUCGUGAGAUGUUGGGUUAAGUCCCGCAACGAGCGCAACCCUUGUUAUUAGUUGCCAGCAUUAAGUUGGGCACUCUAAUGAGACUGCCGGUGACAAACCGGAGGAAGGUGGGGAUGACGUCAAGUCAUCACGCCCCUUAUGACCUGGGCUACACACGUGCUACAAUGGGCAGUACAACGAGAAGCGAGCCUGCGAAGGCAAGCGAAUCUCUGAAAGCUGUUCUCAGUUCGGACUGCAGUCUGCAACUCGACUGCACGAAGCUGGAAUCGCUAGUAAUCGCGGAUCAGCACGCCGCGGUGAAUACGUUCCCGGGCCUUGUACACACCGCCCGUCACACCAUGGGAGUCUGCAAUGCCCAAAGCCGGUGGCCUAACCUUCGGGAAGGAGCCGUCUAAGGCAGGGCAGAUGACUGGGGUGAAGUCGUAACAAGGUAGCCGUAGGAGAACC
RNAcentral lists this ribosomal RNA (1516 nucleotides) under uncultured bacterium. Its description in RNAcentral is "bacterial SSU rRNA". It matches the Rfam family "Bacterial small subunit ribosomal RNA". The record is from RNAcentral.